Molecule: ribosomal RNA, 389 nt
Filed under: Macaca mulatta (Rhesus monkey)
Lineage: Eukaryota; Metazoa; Chordata; Mammalia; Primates; Cercopithecidae
Description: partial 12S ribosomal RNA
Rfam family: Bacterial small subunit ribosomal RNA
Source: RNAcentral
GCUUGGCCCUAAACCUCAGUAGUUAGAUAACAAAACUACUCGCCAGAAUACUACAAGCUAUAGCUUAAAACUCAAAGGACUUGACGGUGCUUUACACCCCCUAGAGGAGCCUGUUCCGUAAUCGAUAAACCCCGAUCCACCCCACCCUCUCUUGCUCAGCCUAUAUACCGCCAUCUUCAGCAAACCCUAAUGAGGGUCACAAAGUGAGCGCAAAUGCCAUUGCCGCAAACACGUUAGGUCAAGGUGUAGCCUAUGAGACGGUAAAAAAUGGGCUACAUUUUCUACCUCAGAAAAUUCCACGAAAACCCUUAUGAAAUUUAAGGGUCCAAGGAGGAUUUAGCAGUAAAUUAAGAAUAGAGUGCUUAAUUGAACCAGGCCAUAAAGCGCGC